Hippocampus zosterae (dwarf seahorse) is the source of this 1311-nucleotide long non-coding RNA. RefSeq lists it as uncharacterized. The record is from RefSeq and is a predicted model, not a curated record. NCBI's taxonomy places the organism in Eukaryota, Metazoa, Chordata, Actinopteri, Syngnathiformes, Syngnathidae. The transcript has 3 exons.
UCAUACAUGUCUUCCCAGUGUCGGAUGAGCCGAUCACUUUUGAAUCACAUGCAAAAUAAGGAAUGUUUUUAUUUAAUCAUCCCUUUUUUUCGCCCCUCUUAACAGAAACAGUAAAAGAAAGAAGAACAGAGGCAGAACGACACUCAAAACACGUGAGGACGUAACCUUGUAAGGCUGGCAGACUUGCAAAAGGCACAUUAGUAAUCUCGCAUAGCCAUCUGGCAUGCUCCUAUUGUGGCCCCUUGGAAAACAAAGAGACUCGCGAGAAUCCAAACUUGCUUCAGCAAGAGUGAAGAUGUGAUCUUAUGUCUUUUACGAGCAACAGCAGCAAAACAGCACCGACAUAUUCCUUCAGCCUUGUGCAAAGGGUGCAAACUUGAUAAGGGUUGUAUGGAGCCUAUCACAGCUGAAUUGGGGAACAUGCACAAUGCACCCUGGAUUAGUGGCCGAUCAAUCAGGUUCACAUGAUGGAGAGAGACAACUAUUCGCAUUCACGCUCACAUUCAUAACAUCACAGACGAAGACGUGAACCCACACUUCCUGCACUAGGUGAGUGAAUCAGCUGUGACUUGUUUGCUAAACAUGAACAUAAUAUUGAUUUGUCAAACAAAUAGAGUCGGGUUAUGUUCGACAAGAUGCCAAUAAAAUACGAAUGAACAUCAAAGUUUGAUGGAGUGUUCCGAGAUUUAAAAAAAUAAAACUGGUAAUCAUACCACAACACUGCAAGUUUCUUCUCCGCUAUGGUGGCUGAGUGGCUGGUGAAGUUCUUCAACCUCAUGGCAUACCUAGAGAGAGAGAGAGCGAGAAGGCGAGAGAGAGAGAUGAGAGAAGUAAACAUCCAUUUUCUAUAGUCCCUUGUCUUCAUGAGGGUGGUAGGAGCCUAUUUGGGGUGUGGAGGGUAUAUCCUAGACUGGUCGCCGAUAAAUCACAGGGCAAAUAUAUACACAACCAACCGUUAACAUCCGUGAAUAAUUAAGAGUCUUACAUGAAUCUAACAUGAGUUUAUUUUUUGGAAAGUCGGAGGAAAAGCAUAGGCAGAGUAUUCAUUUGCGACGAACCGUUCGUUAUUGGUAACAUUAACCUCUCAAAUAUGAAACGGACGUGAUAAAACACUACACGUGCUGAUCAAUAGUAAACAAAUACAGAACAGCAUUUCUAAAGGUUUGAAUAAUUUUGGACACUGACCAUGAGCCAAAGAAGCAUUUUUGACACUUUGGAAGCGCACAUUUCAAAGGACACAACUGACAUUUGGUUAUUGUGUUUUAUUUUUAUUUUUUUACAGGAAAGUGCUUCAGGGGUCAGAUGUUGCUU